This 377-nucleotide ribosomal RNA is filed under the name uncultured bacterium. RNAcentral describes it as "bacterial SSU rRNA". It matches the Rfam family "Bacterial small subunit ribosomal RNA", at positions 521 to 896 of the family's 1533-position model. The record is from RNAcentral.
UAAUACAGAGGUGGCAAGCGUUGCUCGGUAUCACUGGGCUUAAAGGGCGCGUAGGCGGUGCGGCACGGUCCGCGUGAAAUCCCUCGGCUCAACCGAGGAAUUGCGCGGGCAACGACCGCGCUGGACGGCAUCAGGGGAAGAUGGAACUCCCGGUGGAGCGGUGAAAUGCGUAGAUAUCGGGAGGAACGCCGGUGGCGAAAGCGAUCUUCUGGGGUGCCUGUGACGCUGAGGCGCGAAAGCUAGGGGAGCAAACGGGAUUAGAUACCCCGGUAGUCCUAGCCCUAAACGAUGCGCACUAGGUAGUGCCCGGUUCCGACUGGGCGCUGCCGGAGCAAAAGUCUUAAGUGCGCCGCCUGGGGAGUACGGCCGCAAGGUUA